UUGACCAGGGUACUAUUACUGUUCUUGAGUAUGAAAUUAGGUUUCAUGCCUUGACUCGGCAAAUGUUGAUGAUUUUACUUGCGGAGGAAGAGUGAAUCAGGAGGUUUGCAAAGAGUUCAUUUUCCUCUCUACUUAGCUGACUACUGGGUCUACUUUUAGUAGGUGAUAUCAUGCUAUGAGUAUUAAACAGAUUCAUCAUUGUGACUAUGGAGGCAAUUCCAAAAAGGUUCUCAAAAAUGAUAGAUUCAAUGGUUCAUUAUCUUGGAGCAGGAACUUCUAAUGUAUGAGUCAUCAUUACCAGACUAUCAGGUCUAUUCAGGCGGCAUUGUAGACUUCUAAUGGUGGUUAUUCUUAGUCUAAUAGUUAGGGUAGCCAGAGUUUAAAAGAGAAGUCUAUGGGUUCUCAGGUUGUGGUGUACGUUCUAGUUUAUGCGAACCAUCUCAUCAUUCUAUGUCUGGAAGGGGAUGCAAUGACUGUAGAGAGUUGGGUCAUAUUUUUAUGUGGUACCUUUGAUUCGGGAAGAUAGGAACAUAAAAGGGUUCUCAAGUUAAGGCCCCUAAGACACCAAUACCACCAGCUAGAGAAGGUGCACAAAGUUGUAGAUGUGGUUCUCAAGUUUCUAGGGAUGAAGCACAGAUGGGCAUGAAUUGGUCUUAGAGGCACAUAAUCUUGGGGUGGACGUGGGCGUGUUCUACUUUUUUCGAAAGACUAGAGGCUGGGCUUCAUAUUCAGUUAUUGUAGAUAUUAUUUCACUUGUUACCAACCAGCUUUAGUGUUAUUCUAUUUAGUAUUUACGUAUUCUUAUGUGUCUGCC
This 814-nucleotide long non-coding RNA is filed under the name Capsicum annuum. Its description in RNAcentral is "long non-coding RNA (CANN_LNC017633)". Lineage: Eukaryota; Viridiplantae; Streptophyta; Magnoliopsida; Solanales; Solanaceae. The record is from RNAcentral.